Non-coding RNA from Kwoniella shivajii, 89 nucleotides. NCBI's taxonomy places the organism in Eukaryota, Fungi, Basidiomycota, Tremellomycetes, Tremellales, Cryptococcaceae. The record is from the annotation of a RefSeq genome assembly.
GCUUCUGUAGUUUAGUGGUUAUAAUUUUGCACUUGUACGAGAAUUUACAACUGAUGCAAGGGUCCUGAGUUCAACUCUCAGCGGAAGCA